CGAGUCCUACUCUUGCCACCA
Molecule: unclassified non-coding RNA, 21 nt
Filed under: Dictyostelium discoideum
Lineage: Eukaryota; Evosea; Eumycetozoa; Dictyosteliales; Dictyosteliaceae
Source: RNAcentral